CACAAAGUAAGCGAUUAAAUAUCGGAAUUUGCAGUUGAUGAAUUACUCAAAAGUAAAAAUCUUUUUGUAGUUCUAUCAAUAACAUGUGUUAUUUAUUACGAUAGUGUCUACCGAUAUAGUGUAUUACACAAAGUUUCUCGUCACAGUUUGCUCAAGAAUAAGCAAGGUAUUGUCCAGGUAGUCUUUUAAACCACUGGUUAAAAACAAUGUUGUUUCACGAGCCUAAGGCUUGAAUGGUUUUAAAUAAAAUAUGAUAAAACGUUAAAAAAAAAUGUUAGGCGAUCAUCUUUAAAGAUUAAGUCAUCACUUAAUUACUAAACUAUUCCGCAAUUUUAGCAAUUUGACCUUAAUUUUGGCGAACUCUUAUGAAAAUACAUUUUAUCUUGCUAUUCUAAUUGAAUAUCUCGUAGGAAAUGGAUUAACAUCGUUUAGAUAAUUAAAUGUAGAUCUACUACGUUCAGACGGAAGAACCUGAAGGCUUUAACAUGGUACAAUGAACACAAAAAUGAGUAUCAGUUCCGGAGUUAGUGAAGUGCUAUUACCGGUGUAUAUCGUACAUAUCAUUUCACAAAACAGUAUACAUGGCUAAAAAAAACUGUACAGAAGCAAGCUUAUGUGCUUUUUUUAAUUUGCAAAGAUAUUGAAAUAGACAUUUAAAUUUACUUGAAGAUAUAAUAAAGAUACAUGUUGAAUUUUACCUAAUGUUAGACAAGUUUGUUCAGUUGGAAAUUUAGAUUUAAAUCUUACAUCAUAUACAAGAUGAAAAAGAUUGUCUGCAGAUUAACUUGAAAUGUAUUUAAAAAUAUAUCUAUAGAAUUACAUUAACCUGAAUAGUUUCUAGUGAAAUCUAACCACGAAUUGAAAAAAAUAACAAAUGCUAUUACUUUACUCUAGGACUGGCAAAACCAGAAAAUACCGUAUAUAAAGUUGUGAUGUGGCGGUUGAUCUCCCUCUUACAAUUUUAUUUUCAAUUUGAUAUAUAUAAAUAUAUAUUGUAAUAAUUUUUGUUGGCGGAAAGAUUGCAUCGAAAAUUAAAAUUCGCUGACACAGCAAUUCAUAUUAAACCACAUACAUGUCGUUAAUAACAUGUCAAGGGAUAUCCUGAUUUAAUUUGGGUUUUAUGUUGUAAAAAAGAUGCAUUUUUAACGUUUUAUAAGUAUACAAGCCAGUAGUUAAUAAAAUAUUUUGAGUUUACUGUCUGAAAACUAUUUUCAAAUCGGUAAUCAUCAUCU
This is a long non-coding RNA of Mytilus californianus (California mussel), 1232 nucleotides long. RefSeq lists it as uncharacterized. The record is from RefSeq and is a predicted model, not a curated record. The transcript has 2 exons. Lineage: Eukaryota; Metazoa; Mollusca; Bivalvia; Mytilida; Mytilidae.